RNAcentral lists this ribosomal RNA (253 nucleotides) under uncultured bacterium. RNAcentral's name for it is "partial 16S ribosomal RNA". It matches the Rfam family "Bacterial small subunit ribosomal RNA", at positions 524 to 776 of the family's 1533-position model. The record is from RNAcentral.
UACGUAGGGGGCAAGCGUUGUCCGGAAUUAUUGGGCGUAAAGAGCGUGUAGGCGGUCCGGUAAGUCAGCUGUGAAAGUCCAGGGCUCAACCCUUGAAAGCCGGUUGAUACUGUCGGGCUAGAGUCCGGAAGAGGCGGGUGGAAUUCCCGGUGUAGCGGUGAAAUGCGCAGAUAUCGGGAGGAACACCAAUGGCGAAGGCAGCUCGCUGGGCCGGUACUGACGCUGAGACGCGAAAGCGUGGGGAGCAAACAGG